UGCAUUGCAAAAUUAAACUGAGUACUGACUUGUCUUGCUUCGAAAUGUUGUGCUGAUGUCUCAUCUCCAUGAAUGAGGAAAUUUGUCACAAUCUGAUUAUUGAAGAGAAGCCUAAAAGAACAAUUGGGAAAUAAUCAGGAGACAAAACUGGGGUAAGAAAAAAUACUUCCUUGCCAACAGAAGCACAAAGCAUUUCAAUAAUACGGAAUGCUGAAAGAUUAAAUGAGAUCUUUGGCAAUUAGACACCUCCAUGCAGUGAAUUCCUCUAUUUGAGUUCUUAAUGCUUAGGAUUAGCAUACCCUUAAGAUUAGGACACGUUUUUAUUUACACACAUUUUUCAAGAACUUUUGCAUUGUUAAAAUAAUGCUUUUUUUUUUUUUUUCCUUUUUUUUUCUUUUUUUCAGCCAUUUUGUCUCAGAGCCUUAAAAAAAGGCUUUCUGGAAAGCCUACAUAGAAAAAACAGUAGGUUUCAUCUCUUUUGUUCUCAUCUGAUCCUAUGGGGUGAUAAUGUGAUGAUUACCUAGAAAUCUUGGUGCCCAUCUGAGAGUGUUUCCAGAUGGAUACAUGGAGGAAGGUCAUCAGUCAACACGCUGCAUGCUGGUCCUUGGUUGAGGAGUGUAAACUUGUCAGCAGCACAGUGGGUCAUAACUUCAAGCAUCAAGAGCAGCAAAAGCCAUCCUGCAGUGAGAAAUUGGCAAUGGAAUUCGCCAUUCCAGAAAAAGAAGCAUCAAUAUAGAGAAAGAAGAAAAAUAUUCUGUGUCAUACUUGGUGAAAUGUGAUGUAGAUAUAAAUUUAGAACAUGUCAAGUCUUCUAAAAAAUUCCAUCUGGCUUAAGGUGACCUCUGUCUCGGGAAGCUGAAUGCACUGCAGAGACCCUCAAAUGGCAUGGGAUGCUGAGGAGAUGUCCACCGGCUGCGAUGUAAACUUGGAGACAUCCUAAGUCUCACAUAGCACUUUGCCUUU
RNAcentral lists this long non-coding RNA (963 nucleotides) under Chrysolophus pictus (golden pheasant). RNAcentral describes it as "lncRNA (ENSCPIG00010011246.1)". Lineage: Eukaryota; Metazoa; Chordata; Aves; Galliformes; Phasianidae. The record is from RNAcentral.